UAGCUCAGACGGUAAAGCAUCUGCCUGCAAUGUGGGAGACCUGGGUUCAAUCCCCAG
RNAcentral lists this transfer RNA (57 nucleotides) under Bos taurus (domestic cattle). It matches the Rfam family "tRNA", at positions 8 to 63 of the family's 71-position model. Rfam says of the family: Transfer RNA (tRNA) molecules are approximately 80 nucleotides in length. Their secondary structure includes four short double-helical elements and three loops (D, anti-codon, and T loops). The record is from Rfam by way of RNAcentral. Lineage: Eukaryota; Metazoa; Chordata; Mammalia; Artiodactyla; Bovidae. RNAcentral also lists the same sequence under 1 other name.